RNAcentral lists this ribosomal RNA (428 nucleotides) under uncultured soil bacterium. Its description in RNAcentral is "bacterial SSU rRNA". It matches the Rfam family "Bacterial small subunit ribosomal RNA", at positions 965 to 1393 of the family's 1533-position model. The record is from RNAcentral.
AGAACCUUACCUGGGUUUGACAUGCGCAGGACGCCGGUAGAGAUAUAGGUUCCCUUGUGGUCUGUGUGCAGGUGGUGCAUGGCUGUCGUCAGCUCGUGUCGUGAGAUGUUGGGUUAAGUCCCGCAACGAGCGCAACCCUUGUCUCAUGUUGCCAGCACGUGAUGGUGGGGACUCGUGAGAGACUGCCGGGGUCAACUCGGAGGAAGGUGGGGAUGACGUCAAGUCAUCAUGCCCCUUAUGUCCAGGGCUUCACACAUGCUACAAUGGCCGGUACAAAGGGCUGCGAUGCCGUGAGGCGAAGCGAGUCCUUGUAAAGCCGGUCUCAGUUCGGAUCGGGGUCUGCAACUCGACCCCGUGAAGUCGGAGUCGCUAGUAAUCGCAGAUCAGCAACGCUGCGGUGAAUACGUUCCCGGGCCUUGUCACACCGA